UGGGGUCUAUGGGGCCUAUGGGGCAAUGGGGGCUAUGGGGUGAUGGAUCUAUGGGGUGACAGAGCUAUGGGGUGAUGGGGUCUAUGGGGUCUAUGGGGUGAAGGAUCCAUGGGGUGAUGGAUUAAUGGGGAAUGGGGUUUAUGGGGUCUACGGGGUGAUGGGGUCUAUGGGGCCGCAGGUCUAUGGGGUGAUGGGGUCUAUGGGGUGAAGGAUCUAUGGGGGAUGGGGUCUAUGGGGUGAAGGAUCCAUGGGGCAACGGGUUCUAUAGGACAAUGGGCUCCAUGGCACAAUGGGGUCUAUGGGGCGAUGACCCCAUGCGACAAUGGGGUCCAUGGGGUGACGGCUCCAUGGGGGAUGACCCCAUAGGGCAAUGGGGUUUAUAGGGCAAUGGGGUCAAUGGGGCUAUGACCCCAUAGGACAACGGGCUCCACGGGGUGCUGGCGGCGCUGCUCCCCCUGCUCCCCCCCGUGGGUCCCCCCCCAGGGCGAGGUGCCCCCGGCCCCCCCCGGGCCCCUUCCUGCAGGGGCCGCGUCCGCCCCCACCCUUCCUGUGCCCCCCCCCCGGCCCCUUCCUGUUGACGCCGGUGGCGGGGACACGGGGACAGUGACGGGGACACGGGGACAAUGACGGGGACAGUGACGGGGAGAGUGACGGGGACACUGGGGGGCCGUGGGACCCCAACAGGGCCCCUCCCGGUGUCCUCCCUGUAUAUGGGGUCCUGUUCCCCCCCCCCCCCCCUUUUGGGGGUCACAGGGAUGUGGGGGUUACGCCCCCCCCCAUGUCCCCAAGGGUGUCACCGGCGGCGUCAUCGGAAGCGGCAGCGUCCGUCCGCGGGCUCGGCACGCGCCCGGCACCCGCGGGUGGGGGGGACGGGGACAGGAUGGGGACAGGGACAAGGACAGGGAUGGGGACAGGAUGGGGAUGGGAUAGGGACAAGGACAGGAUGGGGACAGGAUUGGGACGGGGACAAGGACAGGAUAGGGACAGGGACAGGAUGGGGACAUGGAUGGGGACAGGAUUGGGAUGGGGACAAGGACAGGGACAGGGUGGGGACAGGAUUGGGAUGGGGACAGGGACAGGGAUGGGGACAGGGACAGGACGGGGACAGGGACAGGAUGGGGACAAGGACAUGGAUGGGGACAAGAGACGGGAUUGGGGACAGGAUGGAGACAGGAUUGGGACAGGGAUAGGGACAAGGACAGGAUGGGAACGGGAUGGGGACAGGGACAGGGUGGGGACAAGAUUGGGACAAAAUUGGGACAGGGAUUGGGAUGGGGACAGGGACAGGGUGGGGACAGGAUUGGGACAGGGACAAGGAUGGGGACGGGGACAAGGACAGGACAGGGACUAGGACAGGAUGGGGAUGGGGACAGGAUGGGGAUGGGGACAGGAUGGGGAUGGGGACAGGGACAAGGACGGGGAUGGGGACAAGGACAGGACAGGGACAGGGACAGGAUGGGGAUGGGGACAGGAUGGGGACAGGGACAGGAUGGGGAUGGGGCAGGGACAGUUUGGGGACAAGCACAGUGACAAGGACAAGCACGCCCCGAGCCCGCGCUGCUUUAUUAUUUACAGGGGGGGACGGAGGGGACGCGGCUGUCCCCAAGGCACGGGGACCUCGGGGCUGUCCCCAA
RNAcentral lists this long non-coding RNA (1634 nucleotides) under Anser brachyrhynchus (Pink-footed goose). RNAcentral describes it as "lncRNA (ENSABRG00000012629.1)". The record is from RNAcentral. Lineage: Eukaryota; Metazoa; Chordata; Aves; Anseriformes; Anatidae.